GAUGAACGCUGGCGGCGUGCCUAAUACAUGCAAGUCGAGCGAAGCGGGGACGGGUGAGUAACACGUGGAUAACCUCCUAUAAGACUGGGAUAACUUCGGGAAACCGGAGCUAAACCGGAUACUAUAGAUGGAUCUGCGCUGCAUUAGCUAGUUGGUAAGGUACCGGCUGACAAAGGCAACGAUGCAUAGCCGACCUGAGAGGGGGAGCGGCCACACGGGAACUGAGACACGGCCCAGACUCCUACGGGAGUCAGCAGUGGGGAAUCUUGUGCAAUGGGCGAAAGCCUGACGGAGAAACUCCGCGUGAGUGAUGAAGGUCUUCGGAUCGUAAAACUCUGUUAUUAGGGAAGGGGUACCUAAUCAGAAAGCCACGGCUAACUACGUGCCAGCCGCCGCGGUAAUAC
RNAcentral lists this ribosomal RNA (404 nucleotides) under uncultured bacterium. RNAcentral describes it as "partial 16S ribosomal RNA". It matches the Rfam family "Bacterial small subunit ribosomal RNA", at positions 28 to 526 of the family's 1533-position model. The record is from RNAcentral.